Molecule: non-coding RNA, 271 nt
Filed under: Paenibacillus sp.
Lineage: Bacteria; Bacillati; Bacillota; Bacilli; Caryophanales; Paenibacillaceae
Description: T-box sequence
Rfam family: T-box leader
About the family: Uncharged tRNA acts as the effector for transcription antitermination of genes in the T-box leader family. T-boxes are found upstream of many aminoacyl-tRNA synthetase genes and some amino acid biosynthetic genes usually in Gram-positive bacteria.
Source: RNAcentral
UGAAACGCGAUGACGAGAAGAGUAGAUACGAGCAGUCCUUCACAGAGAGCCCCGGGCGGUGAAAAGGGGCAGGGAACGCUGUAUUGAAACAAGCCUCUGAGCGGCGUACCGGAACUUAAGCAGCCGGGAUGGUACGACAGGAGCUCCUGUUACAGAGCUAGAGUAUAAGCCUUGCUGCCGCAGCUGCUGCGGACAAUGCCGUACUUGAUGAGAUUAAUAUGGCGACAUAUUAAUGAACCUGGGGUGGUACCGCGAGAAUCUCGUCCCCAAG